CAUUUCGUGGCGCAGCGGCAGCGCACGUGGUGCGUGAACCGAGCGACCCGGGUUCGACGCCCGGCGGGCGGC
This is a non-coding RNA of Aphelenchus avenae, 72 nucleotides long. The record is from the annotation of a GenBank genome assembly. NCBI's taxonomy places the organism in Eukaryota, Metazoa, Nematoda, Chromadorea, Rhabditida, Aphelenchidae.